RNAcentral lists this ribosomal RNA (243 nucleotides) under uncultured bacterium. RNAcentral describes it as "partial 16S ribosomal RNA". It matches the Rfam family "Bacterial small subunit ribosomal RNA", at positions 15 to 253 of the family's 1533-position model. The record is from RNAcentral.
GAUCAUGGCUCAGAUUGAACGCUGGCGGCAGGCCUAACACAUGCAAGUCGAACGGUAACAGAAAGCAGCUUGCUGCUUUGCUGACGAGUGGCGGACGGGUGAGUAAUGUCUGGGAAACUGCCCGAUGGAGGGGGAUAACUACUGAAAACGGUAGCUAAUACCGCAUAACGUCGCAAGACCAAAGAGGGGGACCUUCGGGCCGUCUUGCCAUCGGAUGUGCCCAGAUGGGAUUAGCUAGUAGGG